GACGAACGCUGGCGGCGUGCUUAACACAUGCAAGUCGAACGGAAAGGCCCUGCUUUUGUGGGGUGCUCGAGUGGCGAACGGGUAAGUAACACGUGAGUAACCUGCCCUUGACUUUGGGAUAACUUCAGGAAACUGGGGCUAAUACCGGAUAGGAGCUCCUGCUGCAUGGCGGGGGUUGGAAAGUUUCGGCGGUUGGGGAUGGACUCGCGGCUUAUCAGCUUGUUGGUGGGGUAGUGGCUUACCAAGGCUUUGACGGGUAGCCGGCCUGAGAGGGUGACCGGCCACAUUGGGACUGAGAUACGGCCCAGACUCCUACGGGAGGCAGCAGUGGGGAAUAUUGCACAAUGGGCGGAAGCCUGAUGCAGCAACGCCGCGUGCGGGAUGACGGCCUUCGGGUUGUAAACCGCUUUCGCCUGUGACGAAGCGUGAGUGACGGUAAUGGGUAAAGAAGCACCGGCUAACUACGUG
Molecule: ribosomal RNA, 468 nt
Filed under: uncultured bacterium
Lineage: Bacteria
Description: partial 16S ribosomal RNA
Rfam family: Bacterial small subunit ribosomal RNA
Source: RNAcentral